GAACGAACGCUGGUUCCAGGCUUAAAGAAGCAAGUCGAGCGCCGUAGCAAUAUGGAGCGGCAGACGGGAUAGCAACACGUGGGAACGUGCCCUUCAGUUCGGAACAACCCAGGGAAACUUGGACUAAUACCGAAUACGUCCGAAAGGAGAAAGAUUUAUCGCCGAAGGAUCGGCCCGCGGCUGAUUAGCUAGUUGGUGAGGUAACGGCUCACCAAGGCGACGAUCAGUAGCUGGUCUGAGAGGAUGAUCAGCCUCACUGGGACUGAGACACGGCCCAGACUCCUACGGGAGGCAGCAGUGGG
Molecule: ribosomal RNA, 302 nt
Filed under: uncultured Hyphomicrobiales bacterium
Lineage: Bacteria; Pseudomonadati; Pseudomonadota; Alphaproteobacteria; Hyphomicrobiales
Description: bacterial SSU rRNA
Rfam family: Bacterial small subunit ribosomal RNA
Source: RNAcentral